RNAcentral lists this ribosomal RNA (468 nucleotides) under uncultured bacterium. Its description in RNAcentral is "partial 16S ribosomal RNA". It matches the Rfam family "Bacterial small subunit ribosomal RNA", at positions 28 to 507 of the family's 1533-position model. The record is from RNAcentral.
GACGAACGCUGGCGGCGUGCUUAACACAUGCAAGUCGAACGGAAAGGCCCUGCUUUUGUGGGGUGCUCGAGUGGCGAACGGGUGAGUAACACGUGAGUAACCUGCCCUUGACUUUGGGAUAACUUCAGGAAACUGGGGCUAAUACCGGAUAGGAGCUCCUGCUGCAUGGUGGGGGUUGGAAAGUUUCGGCGGGUGGGGAUGGACUCGCGGCGUAUCAGCUUGUUGGUGGGGUAGUGGCUUACCAAGGCUUUGACGGGUAGCCGGCCUGAGAGGGUGACCGGCCACAUUGGGACUGGGAUACGGCCCAGACUCCUACGGGAGGCAGCAGUGGGGAAUAUUGCACAAUGGGCGGAAGCCUGAUGCAGCAACGCCGCGUGCGGGAUGACGGCCUUCGGGUUGUAAACCGCUUUCGCCUGUGACGAAGCGUGAGUGACGGUAAUGGGUAAAGAAGCACCGGCUAACUACGUG